AGCGAACGUUAGCGGCGGGCCUAACACAUGCAAGUCGAGCGAGAAAAGGGCUUCGGCUCUUAGUAAAGCGGCGGACGGGUGAGUAACACGUAGGUAAUCUUCCCUUGAGCGGGGGACAACGAGCCGAAAGGCUCGCUAAUACCGCAUAAGUUUCUCGGGACUCUGGUCCUGGGAAGGAAAGCUAGGCCGCAAGGUCCGGCACUCGAGGAGGAGCCUGCGUCGCAUCAGCUAGUUGGUGGGGGUAANGGCCUACCAAGGCGAAGACGCGUAGCUGGUCUGAGAGGAUGAUCAGCCACACUGGGACUGAGACACGGCCCAGACUCCUACGGGAGGCAGCAGUGGGGAAUAUUGGACAAUGGGCGCAAGCCUGAUCCAGCC
Molecule: ribosomal RNA, 378 nt
Filed under: uncultured bacterium
Lineage: Bacteria
Description: bacterial SSU rRNA
Rfam family: Bacterial small subunit ribosomal RNA
Source: RNAcentral